GGCAGCAGCCACACCUUUCCUUGCUGGAAAUUCACAUAAACUGGAUUUUUCUGGAAAUAUGGUCAGAACCUUAGAACUGUAUAAAUUUAUAUCUCCUGUACAUUUAGACCAACCUGUCUUUCCAGUCAUCUGCACUGAUCUUUCAAAGGUGUUAAAAAUGUCAUAUAAUUUUAAUAAUAGGCUUCCACAAUCCACUGUUUUACAGUCUUCCAUGUACACCCUGAUUUGGCUAGAACUUGUCCCUGGUUUUAGAGGUUUGCAACUAUUUCAGCAUCUGUUGGGUGUCUCUGCACUUUUCAUGAAGACAGGGAGAAUUUUAUCCAUCUCUCAUUAUUUUGUUCCGCCUGGAUCUGCCAGGGUUGAUUGUAAAAUGAAGAGUCCAUGCAGGACAGCUCUGGAUGAAAAAGUAAUACAGAGAAAAGUAAGAAAUAUCUCACCACAGUGAAUUCCCACUCCAGUUAGAUCUUUGAAGUUACUGGCAUGAACUCUCUCUCACACAACAUACCCCUAACUCGUAUAAGUGUGUCGUCUCUACUAAACAAUCCUUUAUAUUUAUUAUUAUUACUCAGUUCAAAGGCUGAUGCCAAGCUGUCUGAGGAAAGGAAAGUACAUGGUGUAUUUUUUAAAAAUCCUCACCUUCACUGGAGUUUUAUGUUCCUUGGGGUUUCUCUUUUCUUUCUUUUUUUUCUUUUUUUUUUUUUUAAGCUCUGUUCUAAGAAAAGGAAAGCAGGGGAUUUACUAAAGGCAAGGCAAGUCGGUUAGUUAUGAGUCACCUUCAUGACUUAUAAAGGGUCUCAAAUUGUUUGGAGAGGGCUUUCUUCACCUGACUUGUGCUGCAGGGAUAUCAGGCGACCAGCCAGACCAACAGACCUCUGUGGCAACUGCUUCUGCCUCAGUUGCUUUUUUCAUUUGCCUUAUUUCUCUCAGUCUCUCUCUCUCUCUCUCUCUCUCAAUCUCACUCUCCCGUUCUCUCACUUCAGAAGAAAAAAAAAAACACAACCCCAGCUCAGUGAUCAUGGUUAACCGGUGAGAUGGAACAAAGGGGAAGUCUGUGGCCUUCUUGCUGCAUUGGUUUUGCUUGCAUCUCUGUGUAAAGAAACUGCCUCAUAGCAGUGGUUACUGGGAGACAAAACAGAAAGCAAACUAAGAUUCAGCAACUUCUGAACACUGCCCAGGAGCGGAUACUUUAUUUUAGAACGAUGGAGAAAGGAAAAUAUAUUUCAAUCAAGACAUACUGAGCAAAGAACUAACUGGGCAUUACUUAGGCCUUUUUAAAACUGCUUGGAAUGACUGUCUCAACUAUUCCAGCCUUAUUACCAAUGUAUAUCAAGGGGAAAACCAGUGGUUUCAGUUCUUUAUGUCUCACACUCCAGUCUCUGGAGUUCUUCUACAGGCUAUAUGUUGUUAAUGCUAAUCGUGAUAGGGGUUUUUACCUCUGACUGACUCCUACAUAUUAGCAUUAACACUGUAUCAUGCCUCUUACCAGAAUUCACAUGGAACAAACUGCUGCUGUGGGAGGAUAACAGAAAUUGUGAAUCAGUCAGUGCUAUGCUGGGGAAACCUCUGUUCUACAUGUAAAAAGACGAGUUGUUCUGCAUACAGGCAUGCUUGCUAGAACGUUUGCUUGGUUUAGAGUCACUGGAAAAAGCAGGGGGGAAAGCAGCUUUUUGUAUCAAUAAGUCAUUACUAGGAUGUAGAAUGUGUAUCAUUUUGAGCACAACAACCUGUUUUUUAUUUUGUUUUAGUGCUUUUCAGGUCUUCUGGUUUUACUUCCUACACAAAUAUUUCAUUUCUUCAUUUUAUCUAGGAAAGAAAAAUGACAAAUUAAACUUUUGGCAUGUA
Long non-coding RNA from Falco peregrinus (peregrine falcon), 1842 nucleotides. RefSeq lists it as uncharacterized. The record is from RefSeq and is a predicted model, not a curated record. Lineage: Eukaryota; Metazoa; Chordata; Aves; Falconiformes; Falconidae. The transcript is spliced from 3 exons.